Molecule: ribosomal RNA, 460 nt
Filed under: uncultured bacterium
Lineage: Bacteria
Description: partial 16S ribosomal RNA
Rfam family: Bacterial small subunit ribosomal RNA
Source: RNAcentral
CCUACGGGUGGCAGCAGUGAGGAAUAUUGGUCAAUGGACGAGAGUCUGAACCAGCCAAGUCGCGUGCAGGAUGACUGCCCUAUGGGUUGUAAACUUCUUUUAUAAAGGAGUAAACCGAGGCACGUGUGUCUUUUUGCAUGUACUUUAUGAAUAAGGAUCGGCUAACUCCGUGCCAGCAGCCGCGGUAAUACGGAGGAUCCGAGCGUUAUCCGGAUUUAUUGGGUUUAACGGGAGCGUAGGUGGGUUGUUAAGUCAGUUGUGAAAGUUUGCGGCUCAACCGUAAAAUUGCAAUUGAUACUGGCAGUCUUGAGUACAGUUGAGGUAGGCGGAAUGCGUGGUGUAGCGGUGAAAUGCUUAGAGAUCACGAAGAACCCCGAUUGCGAAGGCAGCUUACUAAACUGUGACUGACAUUGAUGCACGAAAGUGUGGGGAGCAAACAGGAUUAGAUACCCCUGUAGUC